RNAcentral lists this transfer RNA (73 nucleotides) under Candidatus Woesearchaeota archaeon. RNAcentral's name for it is "tRNA-Asp". It matches the Rfam family "tRNA". Rfam says of the family: Transfer RNA (tRNA) molecules are approximately 80 nucleotides in length. Their secondary structure includes four short double-helical elements and three loops (D, anti-codon, and T loops). Further hydrogen bonds mediate the characteristic L-shaped molecular structure. tRNAs have two regions of fundamental functional importance: the anti-codon, which is responsible for specific mRNA codon recognition, and the 3' end, to which the tRNAs corresponding amino acid is attached (by aminoacyl-tRNA synthetases). tRNAs cope with the degeneracy of the genetic code in two manners: having more than one tRNA (with a specific anti-codon) for a particular amino acid; and 'wobble' base-pairing, i.e. permitting non-standard base-pairing at the 3rd anti-codon position. The record is from RNAcentral. Lineage: Archaea; Nanobdellati; Candidatus Woesearchaeota.
GCCCUGGUAGUCUAGUGGCCUAGGAUGGGGCCCUGUCGAGGCUCCGACCCGGGUUCGAAUCCCGGCCAGGGCG